RNAcentral lists this ribosomal RNA (371 nucleotides) under uncultured bacterium. Its description in RNAcentral is "bacterial SSU rRNA". It matches the Rfam family "Bacterial small subunit ribosomal RNA", at positions 378 to 766 of the family's 1533-position model. The record is from RNAcentral.
AAAGCCUGAUCCAGCAAUGCCGCGUGGGUGAAGAAGGUCUUCGGAUUGUAAAGCCCUUUCGGCGGGGACGAUGAUGACGGUACCCGCAGAAGAAGCCCCGGCUAACUUCGUGCCAGCAGCCGCGGUAAUACGAAGGGGGCUAGCGUUGCUCGGAUUGACUGGGCGUAAAGGGCGCGUAGGCGGCUUGUACAGUCAGACGUGAAAUUCCUGGGCUCAACCCGGGGGCUGCGUUUGAUACGUAUGGGCUUGAGUUCGGAAGAGGGUCGUGGAAUUCCCAGUGUAGAGGUGAAAUUCGUAGAUAUUGGGAAGAACACCGGUGGCGAAGGCGGCGACCUGGUCCGAUACUGACGCUGAGGCGCGAAAGCGUGGGG